Cercocebus atys (sooty mangabey) is the source of this 368-nucleotide long non-coding RNA. RefSeq lists it as uncharacterized. Lineage: Eukaryota; Metazoa; Chordata; Mammalia; Primates; Cercopithecidae. The transcript is spliced from 4 exons. The record is from RefSeq and is a predicted model, not a curated record.
CUCGCGCAGCCUCCUGGGCCAAACGCUGCAGUGCUUGGGGCGCGGAGGCCUCCAGAGAGCUGUGUGUUCUGUGAGAAGUUCGCAUUCUCAAGGAACCUCAGCUGUUUGGUUUGCUCUUCUGCCACCCACCCCUACCUGUGCCAGACUGAGGGCUCUCCCUGCCCCACCUUAACAGAAGAGAAUUCCAGAGAUGGUUGUCCAGUCUGGUCUGGAACUCCUGACCUCAAGCGAUCCUCCUGCUUUGACCUCCCAGACUGCUGGGAUUAUAGCCAUGCUGCCAGCCAUGUGUAGGGGUGAAGAGGGGGAUCACGGAACCAGCCCCGGAUGACUCAGGAGCUGUAACACUCACCACAAGGGUCUGCAGCUUC